Molecule: long non-coding RNA, 2066 nt
Filed under: Patiria miniata (bat star)
Lineage: Eukaryota; Metazoa; Echinodermata; Asteroidea; Valvatida; Asterinidae
Description: uncharacterized LOC119735199
Source: RNAcentral
ACUGUAUUUGGUUUUUCCGUGCUAUUUUUGAGUAACACCCUGCCAAACUAGAUUUUGAUUUUACAUUGCUAUUUUUCUGGUAAUUCAAAAGUUAUGGAAUAGGAACUUUACAAAUUUCAAUUUUUUGCGGUGUGGCCAAAACUUAUUCAGACAUAUCUUAUGUAUGUUAUGGGCACAAUAGAAACCCAAACUAUAUUUUAAGUUUGGUUGACAUUCAAAGUAUAAACAAAGUAACUUUUUUCUGUUUUGAAAGUGAACUCAUUCAAAUUGAAAAUUUUUUUUUUUUUUCCUCCAACAUAUCUGAAGCAGAACUUAUUAUUCGAAAUGUCAGGCCGCCCUGAUUUUUAAAAUUGAAAAAAAAAAAUUGCUAGAAGAAAAUAAAAUUACUAUGUUGAGGAUGGGAAGAGCAAAUUUAAGAAUUUGAAUUUCACUUUUUGAAACUAGUUUAGUUUCCUAACUGUCUUUAAAGACACGUUUUUCAGAGUCUGUUACAUUUAAUAUCAGUGUUUUAUACAUGUAGGUAUUGUUUAUGCACUAUCAUGCAGUCAAUUUACAGUUAACAAAAUGUAUUUAGAACUCAAUCACCUAUUCCUAAGUAAAUAAUUUAUUUUCAAGAACUGUAUAUUUUAAAUUACUAAAUCAUGAAAAUCAAAAGUUAUUGUACAAACUGGAGAGAAAAUCAAUAUGUGAAGUAGUUCGUUUCCAAAACGCAAUAUACGCCACUUUGUUCCCUUGAGAAUCUUGCUCGCUUCUGGCUGUCAAAGGCAAUUUUGACAGCUGUUAUACUUAAACACAACGUAAGAAUACGUUAUUUAUGAAAAUGAACUUUAGAAACAGCUGUAGGUUAUGUUGUUUCAAUUCCACAUUUUUUGCCUUUCUCGAAAUGGAUAUGUUGCGGUUUGAAAAUAAACUCUUCAUGUAUAUUAAAAGUGAUUACUACACAUUUUUAAUCUCUUUUUAAAUCUUGAAAAGCAUCAUGUAUAUGUACAUGUAUCUACCUUCAAGGAACUUCUCCAAAGAUUACACCAACAGCUAAUUUUUGUGUUUUUGUUUUCAAUAUUUUAGGAGUAUUUUUCUUAAGAUUAUUGAUGAAAACAAAAAUGAAAUACAUAAUAUUGUGAAUUGAUUACACUAAUUGAUAGUAUAUUAUUUUUGUUUAGUUAUUUUAUCUCCACAACUCUUCUUCAAUUUAAUUGCUUCUCAACAGUAGUACAUUAUGUUUGAUGUGUAUUCUUACAUUUUUUUCAUAACUUGCAGAUCAGUCAUCUUCAUUUUGUUGUUUUAAAAUAAAAAAGAGUUUAACUGGAGGGUUUAAUGUAUGUCUAACACUGACUGUGAAAAGCUUUCUCUAAUGAUACGUUUACAAACAGUUUUGUACAAUAUUUUCAUAGAUGCAAAAUUGAAAAUUUGGAAAGACUCGGCUGCACUUUCCAGUUGAAACCAGUUAAAUUGGAAAUUGGUGACUGGUUUAGAAAUGGUUUAUAACUGGUUUUGAAUCGGUUUUAACUGAUUCAAAACCAGGUAAACCAGUUCAAAACCAGAUAAACCAGUUCAAAACCAGAUAAACCAGUUCAAACCAGAUAAACCAGUCCCAAACCAGAUAAACCAGUUCAAAACCAGAUAAACCAGUUCCAAACCAGAUAAACCAGUCCCAAACCAGAUAAACCAGUUCCAAACCAGAUCAACCAGUUCCAAACCAGAUAAACCAGUUCAAACUAGAUAAACCAGUUCAAAACAAGAUAAACCAGUUCAAAACCAGAUAAACCAGUUCCAAAGUAGUUCAAAACCAGUCACCAAUUUCCAGUUCAACUAGUACCAUUUGAAACCAGUUAAACCGUUUUUUUGUUUUCACCUAGGAUAUGCAUAAUUAUGCAAACCUGAAACAAAUUGAAUUGAUAGAUCACUCAUAGUGUAGUUGUUGUUUCGCCUAGUUUAUUCAAUUGUGCAGAUUCCUUAAACGAUCUAAUGUAAUUUAAUCAGUGACAGGUCUACUGGUUGCAACUCUAUUCACUUUAUACUGUUUUGUUUGAGAAAAUAAAGCAUGAUUUUAAUAUUGUAAGACUCUC